This 570-nucleotide ribosomal RNA is filed under the name Triticum aestivum (bread wheat). RNAcentral describes it as "partial small subunit ribosomal RNA". The record is from RNAcentral. Lineage: Eukaryota; Viridiplantae; Streptophyta; Magnoliopsida; Poales; Poaceae.
UCCUCCACCUCAGAUGGCUUUUUUAUUUCUCAAGAAAAGUACAUCCAGGAUCUUCUUGCUCGUGCUGCUCUAAGUGAUGAGCGCACUGUGGAGACUCCUAUGGAGCUUAAUGUUCACCUUUCUGAUGGCGAGCCCUUGUCUGAUCCGACUCGCUAUUGUCAUCUUGUCGGGAGUCUUGUCUAUCUCGCUGUCACUCGACCGGAUAUCUCCUAUCCUGUUCAUAUUCUGAGUCAGUUUGUUUCUUCUCCCACUUCGGUUCACUAUAGUCACCUUCUUCGUGUUUUACGAUAUCUUCGUGGCACGAUCUCUCACCGUCUCUUCUUUCCUCGUUCGAGCUCGUUACAGCUCCAGGCCUAUUUGGAUGCUACCUGGGCUAGUGAUCCUUUGGAUCGUCGCUCACUUUCUGCUUACUGUGUCUUUCUUGGUGGUUCUCUCAUUGCUUGGAAAACAAAGAAACAGACUGCAGUUUCCCGUUCGAGUGCAGAGGCCGAGUUGCGAGCUAUGGCUCUUCUCACGGCAGAGGUGACUUGGUUACGCUGGUUACUCGCAGAUUUUGGUGUUUCAGUUACU